AGAGCUGCUGGAGCGCGCAGCCUUAUCUUGCGUUUCCGCCGAAGUUGUGCUGAGUGGUCCCGCACCUUCUGGCACUGUCCCGUGUGAGCGCGCCGCCACCGUCCUGGUUUCCGAGUGAGUCACGGCCAGGCGAAGCUGCGCUGUGCUGCAUUCAACCUGCUCUCGACAAGAGGAGAAACUGAGGCCCCGAGGGGCGUGGAGAGCCGACCGGAGGUCUUGUGACUCUGUGGCUUUUGGAGACAGAUGACAACUAACUCUUGAAGGGCCUUUGGGGCUCUGCACCAGCCAGCACCCCUUCCCUCCUCCGGUCCUCGGUCCUCGAUCUCACUGCCUGAUGGACCCACACUGCCUCUGUCCGGAGGGGGAGGCCGUCUCCUAGAGGAGGCAGCCUGAUGCAGAGGGGCCCUUGAGAGGUAUCCCCAUCCUGCAGGAAGCAGCUGGACCACGAUGCUCCCAAGGUGAGGUCUGUCCUCUGGAGACCUGGGGCUUUGCAUGCCACAAGAUAAGUCCACUGUGUGCAGAGGCCUCAUGGGAAUUGUCAUGUCAGAAACAUUCUGGACCCCAGUGUCCUCGAGGGGCGCUGCCUUGGACCUGGAGACUGUGGCAGGAAGCGCCAAGGGGGUGGAGGCAUUGACCCUCAAGGUGGUGACCUGGGUGGCAGCUUCCCUGGAGGGGGGCCUCCCCAUGAUUAGUUUGGGGAUUGAUCACGGACAUUGGAGUGAAGAGUGGCAUUGCCACCUGAUGCAUUGCUGGACCUUCUCACCCCAUCAUCAAAGGGCUUGACAUCAAAGGACUUUUUGCUCUGAGGGAGCGGGGCAGCAGGAGAGCCCGGACUCCAGGGACCCUGGGAGAGUGUUCAGCAUCAGAGACCCUCCCAGGCUCCGCCCCUCUGCAGCAGGUGCUGGGAACAUUCAUGGUGGACCAGGAUGGUGGCUUUCCUUCCGUCUGGGCCAGGCCACCCGUGUUCUGUGUCCCCCUGCCUACUGCUCAUGUAACUUUUUAGAACCAAGAGUUCCUUUUGACGUUUUCUGUGCUGUGCAUCAUUGUCCUCUCACCUAUCUCAAUAAACCAUGAAAUGGC
Molecule: long non-coding RNA, 1080 nt
Organism: Artibeus jamaicensis (Jamaican fruit-eating bat)
Lineage: Eukaryota; Metazoa; Chordata; Mammalia; Chiroptera; Phyllostomidae
Exons: 6
Source: RefSeq, a predicted model, not a curated record